GCACCCUUAGCGCAGUUGGUAGAGCAACUGACUCUUAAUCAGUGGGUCUAGGGUUCGAAUCCCUAAGGGUGUA
RNAcentral lists this transfer RNA (73 nucleotides) under Prevotella sp. Its description in RNAcentral is "tRNA-Lys". It matches the Rfam family "tRNA". From Rfam's summary of the family: Transfer RNA (tRNA) molecules are approximately 80 nucleotides in length. Their secondary structure includes four short double-helical elements and three loops (D, anti-codon, and T loops). Lineage: Bacteria; Pseudomonadati; Bacteroidota; Bacteroidia; Bacteroidales; Prevotellaceae. The record is from RNAcentral.